UUGACCUCAAAUCGGGUGGGACUACCCGCUGAACUUAAGCAUAUCAAUAAGCGGAGGAAAAGAAACUAACAAGGAUUCCCCUAGUAACGGCGAGUGAAGAGGGAAAAGCUCAAAUUUUGAAUCUGGUGUCUUUGGCGCCCGAGUUGUAAUCUAGGGAAGUGUUUUCCGCGUUGGACCGUUCACAAGUUUUCUGGAAUGAGGCUUCAUAGAGGGUGAGAAUCCCGUAUCUGGAACGGACUACCAAUGCUCUGUGAUACACUCUCAACGAGUCGAGUUGUUUGGGAAUGCAGCUCAAAAUGGGUGGUAAAUUCCAUCUAAAGCUAAAUAUUGGCGAGAGACCGGUAGCGAACAAGUACCGUGAGGGAAAGAUGAAAAGCACUUUGGAAAGAGAGUGAAACAGUACGUGAAAUUGUUGAAAGGGAAGCGUUUGAAGUCAGUCAUAUCUGUCGGGAUUCAGCUUGGCUUUUGCCUUGUGUACUUUCCGUCCGAUGGGUCAGCAUCAAUUCAGACCGAGGGAAAAAGGCGUUUGGAAUGUGGCUGUCUUCGGGCAGUGUUAUAGCCUCGCGUUGUAUGUCUCGGUUGGGAUUGAGGAACGCAGCGCGCCACUUAAUUGGCCGGGGGUUAAGUCCUCUCGUAUCGCGCUUAGGAUGCUGG
RNAcentral lists this ribosomal RNA (654 nucleotides) under Sebacinales sp. B KN-2014. RNAcentral describes it as "eukaryotic LSU rRNA". It matches the Rfam family "Eukaryotic large subunit ribosomal RNA", at positions 1 to 629 of the family's 3401-position model. The record is from RNAcentral. Lineage: Eukaryota; Fungi; Basidiomycota; Agaricomycetes; Sebacinales.